RNAcentral lists this ribosomal RNA (497 nucleotides) under uncultured bacterium. RNAcentral's name for it is "partial 16S ribosomal RNA". It matches the Rfam family "Bacterial small subunit ribosomal RNA", at positions 28 to 507 of the family's 1533-position model. The record is from RNAcentral.
GAUGAACGCUGGCGGCGUGCCUAAUACAUGCAAGUAGAACGCUGAAGGAAGGAGCUUGCUCUUUCCGGAUGAGUUGCGAACGGGUGAGUAACGCGUAGGUAACCUGCCUGGUAGCGGGGGAUAACUAUUGGAAACGAUAGCUAAUACCGCAUAACAGUAGAUGUUGCAUGAUAUCUACUUAAAAGGUGCAAUUGCACCACUACCAGAUGGACCUGCGUUGUAUUAGCUAGUUGGUGAGGUAACGGCUCACCAAGGCGACGAUACAUAGCCGACCUGAGAGGGUGAUCGGCCACACUGGGACUGAGACACGGCCCAGACUCCUACGGGAGGCAGCAGUAGGGAAUCUUCGGCAAUGGACGGAAGUCUGACCGAGCAACGCCGCGUGAGUGAAGAAGGUUUUCGGAUCGUAAAGCUCUGUUGUAAGAGAAGAACGAGUGUGAGAGUGGAAAGUUCACAAUGUGACGGUAUCUUACCAGAAAGGGACGGCUAACUACGUG